UUGAUCCCUGGCUCAGAACGAACGCUGGCGGCAGGCUUAACACAUGCAAGUCGAGCGCCUCGCAAGAGGAGCGGCAGACGGGUGAGUAACACGUGGGAACAUACCCUUUACUACGGAACAACUCCGGGAAACUGGAGCUAAUACCGUAUGUGCCCUUCGGGGGAAAGAUUUAUCGGUAAAGGAUUGGCCCGCGUUGGAUUAGCUAGUUGGUGGGGUAAAGGCCUACCAAGGCGACGAUCCAUAGCUGGUCUGAGAGGAUGAUCAGCCACAUUGGGACUGAGACACGGCCCAAACUCCUACGGGAGGCAGCAGUGGGGAAUAUUGGACAAUGGGCGCAAGCCUGAUCCAGCCAUGCCGCGUGUGUGAUGAAGGCCUUAGGGUUGUAAAGCACUUCACCGAUGAAGAUAAUGACGGUAGUCGAGAAGAAGCCCGG
Molecule: ribosomal RNA, 433 nt
Filed under: Rhizobium sp. CL7.92
Lineage: Bacteria; Pseudomonadati; Pseudomonadota; Alphaproteobacteria; Hyphomicrobiales; Rhizobiaceae
Description: bacterial SSU rRNA
Rfam family: Bacterial small subunit ribosomal RNA
Source: RNAcentral